UCCUACGGGAGGCAGCAGUGAGGAAUAUUGGUCAAUGGGCGAGAGCCUGAACCAGCCAAGUAGCGUGAAGGAUGAAGGCUCUAUGGGUCGUAAACUUCUUUUAUAUGGGAAUAAAGUUUUCCACGUGUGGAAUUUUGUAUGUACCAUAUGAAUAAGGAUCGGCUAACUCCGUGCCAGCAGCCGCGGUAAUACGGAGGAUCCGAGCGUUAUCCGGAUUUAUUGGGUUUAAAGGGAGCGUAGGUGGAUUGUUAAGUCAGUUGUGAAAGUUUGCGGCUCAACCGUAAAAUUGCAGUUGAAACUGGCAGUCUUGAGUACAGUAGAGGUGGGCGGAAUUCGUGGUGUAGCGGUGAAAUGCUUAGAUAUCACGAAGAACUCCGAUUGCGAAGGCAGCUCACUAGACUGUCACUGACACUGAUGCUCGAAAGUGUGGGUAUCAAACAGGAUUAGAUACCCUGGUAGUCC
This 462-nucleotide ribosomal RNA is filed under the name Bacteroides ovatus. RNAcentral describes it as "bacterial SSU rRNA". It matches the Rfam family "Bacterial small subunit ribosomal RNA", at positions 337 to 796 of the family's 1533-position model. Lineage: Bacteria; Pseudomonadati; Bacteroidota; Bacteroidia; Bacteroidales; Bacteroidaceae. The record is from RNAcentral.